Molecule: transfer RNA, 62 nt
Filed under: Streptosyllis sp. THS1
Lineage: Eukaryota; Metazoa; Annelida; Polychaeta; Phyllodocida; Syllidae
Description: tRNA-Lys
Source: RNAcentral
AAAAAGCUUUAAAGAAGCGUGGGAUUUUUAAUCCUUUGAUAUCAAUAGAUUUUAAUUAAUUG